This 252-nucleotide ribosomal RNA is filed under the name uncultured bacterium. RNAcentral describes it as "partial 16S ribosomal RNA". It matches the Rfam family "Bacterial small subunit ribosomal RNA", at positions 524 to 776 of the family's 1533-position model. The record is from RNAcentral.
UACGUAGGUCCCGAGCGUUGUCCGGAUUUAUUGGGCGUAAAGCGAGCGCAGGUGGUUUAUUAAGUCUGGUGUAAAAGGCAGUGGCUCAACCAUUGUAUGUAUUGGAAACUGGUAGACUUGAGUGCAGGAGAGGAGAGUGGAAUUCCAUGUGUAGCGGUGAAAUGCGUAGAUAUAUGGAGGAACACCGGUGGCGAAAGCGGCUCUCUGGCCUGUAACUGACACUGAGGCUCGAAAGCGUGGGGAGCAAAUAGG